GCGGCCUAUCAGCUUGUUGGUGAGGUAAUGGCUCACCAAGGCAACGACGGGUAGCCGGCCUGAGAGGGCGACCGGCCACACUGGGACUGAGACACGGCCCAGACUCCUACGGGAGGCAGCAGUGGGGAAUAUUGGGCAAUGGAGGAAACUCUGACCCAGCGACGCCGCGUGCGGGAUGAAGGCCUUCGGGUUGUAAACCGCUUUCAGUAGGGAAGAAGCGAAAGUGACGGUACCUACAAAAGAAGCACCGGCUAACUAUGUGCCAGCAGCCGCGGNAAUACAUAGGGUGCAAGCGUUGUCCGGAAUUAUUGGGCGUAAAGAGCUCGUAGGUCGUUUGUUACGUCGGAUGUGAAAAACCUGAGGCUCAACCUCAGGCCUGCAUUCGAUACGGGCAAACUAGAGUUUGGUAGGGGAGACUGGAAUUCCU
Molecule: ribosomal RNA, 427 nt
Filed under: uncultured Actinomycetes bacterium
Lineage: Bacteria; Bacillati; Actinomycetota; Actinomycetes
Description: bacterial SSU rRNA
Rfam family: Bacterial small subunit ribosomal RNA
Source: RNAcentral